UUACCAGGACGCCCUGGUGUUCUGGCGGGUUUUUAGAUGACAAAUCCUCUCCAAAGAGGCGGUUCAGAGACCAGCCGUGAAGUGGUGUUUCCAUCUUGCGUGUCAACUCUUCGGUAACGUGGGCCGGUGGGGUGGUUUGAUACCUGAACACGCUCUAAAGGAGCUUGAUGUUGGACAAACUCCUGAACUGCUACCUGAAUGAUGACACUACUCAACGAGACCCCAUCUCAGGACUCUGUCCAUAAAUGCAAAAAGGUCGCGGCGUGUUUUCCUCAGUCCUGGUUUUAAGACGUGAGCUCCUGUCCCUCUCACCUGAAGUCCUUCAGUGACCAUCUCCUCCAGACAGCCCAUUCAGUAUACAAACAACAGCCUGACCACCCCAACAGACGGCCCGUGGUGAGCGACGUGCUAACUUUUCUGGGAAGCAUCAAGGCCUGGGACAAGGUAUUGACGAUAUCAGACAAAUACCAUUACAAAGACCUGGUGUCCUAGUGUGUCCUACUGUGUCAACCAUACAUCAUGUAAUAUUUGUUGUAAUUUUGUACAUUACACAACUGUAUUUCUACUUAUUUUUAUAUAUAUAUAAAUAAAUGUAGAUGUUUGGUCCAGUUCCCCUCCAAACUGUUUUUGUUUCUGUCUUACCUCUUUCAGAAAAAGUCUGUGCUUGUAACUUCAUCCCAAGGGCUGAGUAUGCAUAAGUCUUAGUGUGUACAUGAGGAGAAAACAACUUACAGUAUGUAGUGGUAGUGGAGUUUUUUUAUUGACGUGUGCACAUUGUAUCACGGGUGGCCGGCAGAUGGCGCUAUUUUUCCUUUUAGGUCAUUUGUCUACGUCCAACUGGAAUCUAUGCAGCCGGCUAUACACUCGUAUCCCCCCCAGCGCCCGGCU
Oncorhynchus tshawytscha (Chinook salmon) is the source of this 888-nucleotide long non-coding RNA. NCBI's taxonomy places the organism in Eukaryota, Metazoa, Chordata, Actinopteri, Salmoniformes, Salmonidae. The record is from Ensembl.